UGGUCUUGACAUAGAAAGAACUUUCCAGAGAUGGAUUGGUGCCUGCUUGCAGGAGCUUUCAUAC
RNAcentral lists this ribosomal RNA (64 nucleotides) under uncultured bacterium. Its description in RNAcentral is "partial 16S ribosomal RNA". The record is from RNAcentral.